CAGCAGCCACGGGAAUACGUAGGGUGCGAGCGUUAAUCGGAAUUACUGGGCGUAAAGUGUGCGCAGGCGGUUCGUUAAGACAGAUGUGAAAUCCCCGGGCUUAACCUGGGAACUGCAUUUGUGACUGGCGAGCUAGAGUAUGGCAGAGGGGGGUAGAAUUCCACGUGUAGCAGUGAAAUGCGUAGAGAUGUGGAGGAAUACCGAUGGCGAAGGCAGCCCCCUGGGCCAAUACUGACGCUCAUGCACGAAAGCGUGGGGGGCAAACAGGAUUAGAUACCCGCGUAGUCCCUGUCUCUUAUAC
Molecule: ribosomal RNA, 301 nt
Filed under: uncultured bacterium
Lineage: Bacteria
Description: partial 16S ribosomal RNA
Rfam family: Bacterial small subunit ribosomal RNA
Source: RNAcentral